UACGGGGGGGGCAAGCGUUGUUCGGAAUUACUGGGCGUAAAGGGCGCGUAGGCGGCCUUCUAAGUCGGACGUGAAAUCCCUCGGCUUAACCGAGGAACUGCGUCCGAUACUGAAAGGCUUGAAUCCGGGAGAGGGAUGUGGAAUUCCAGGUGUAGCGGUGAAAUGCGUAGAUAUCUGGAGGAACACCGGUGGCGAAGGCGGCAUCCUGGACCGGCAUUGACGCUGAGGCGCGGAAA
RNAcentral lists this ribosomal RNA (236 nucleotides) under uncultured bacterium. RNAcentral's name for it is "partial 16S ribosomal RNA". It matches the Rfam family "Bacterial small subunit ribosomal RNA", at positions 524 to 759 of the family's 1533-position model. The record is from RNAcentral.